This 274-nucleotide ribosomal RNA is filed under the name uncultured bacterium. RNAcentral describes it as "partial 16S ribosomal RNA". It matches the Rfam family "Bacterial small subunit ribosomal RNA", at positions 523 to 796 of the family's 1533-position model. The record is from RNAcentral.
AUACGGAGGGUGCAAGCGUUAAUCGGGAUUACUGGGCGUAAAGCGCGCGUAGGUGGUUAUGUAAGUCGGAUGUGAAAGCCCCGGGCUUAACCUGGGAAUUGCAUUCGAAACUGCAUGACUAGAGUCUGAUAGAGGGAAGUGGAAUUUCCGGUGUAGCGGUGAAAUUCGUAGAUAUUGGGAAGAACACCGGUGGCGAAGGCGGCCUCCUGGACCAAUACUGACACUGAGGUGCGAAAGCGUGGGGAGCAAACAGGAUUAGAAACCCCGGUAGUCC